Molecule: long non-coding RNA, 673 nt
Organism: Tachyglossus aculeatus (Australian echidna)
Lineage: Eukaryota; Metazoa; Chordata; Mammalia; Monotremata; Tachyglossidae
Exons: 3
Source: RefSeq, a predicted model, not a curated record
CCCUUUGAAUGAAUGUUCAAUUUAACUGGAGUUCAUUUCCCAUAAAAGCCUUUCCCCUUGGCACAAAUGCACUGAAGUCCUUGAACACACCUCUUCGUGCGCUUGGGACCCGUACACGAAGCCUUACCGCCGCCGGUCUAUUGUCAAAUUGUUUCGAAACCACGUCGCCCAUCCUCUCCCCCGGCCGUUCCUUUAUUAUUCCCCACCCCUCUCUGUCCUGUCCUCCUUUCUCCCUCUCGCUUGCAACCUCAAAUCUUCGACCUGGUUCUUCUCUUUGAAGCGAAGGGCCUCUUCCUAAAAGUUCUCCAGAAAAAGAAACCUGCAGCUAUUCGGAACACCCUGCCGGAGUAACAAACUGCACCACCAGUAAAUAGCAGCAGCAGCAGCAGCAGCAGCAUGUGCAGGGACGGCGGUGGAGGCUGUAGCUCUGGUGCCGGGCCGCAGUGCUGAAAGAAACAGAUUCCGAAGUUAUGCAUCUUUACGACUACUACGGAGUAAUUUCUAGAGAACUGGAGAAUUUGUCCUAUGACAACCUGAUGGCAAUUUUUAAAAGUCAAAUUAUAUCUCCAUUUUGUUUUCAGAUUCAAACUGAUUUUACUGUUCUUGAUGUAUCUUAUAAUAUUUGUAUAUUUUGAAAUAAAUUGGACGUUUAGUCAUUUCUUCUGGAAAAGUU